UGCAAGUCAAACGAACCUCCCGGUGCUUGCCCGGACUGGUGAGUGGCGAACGGGUAAAGAAGACAUGAGAAACCUGCCCUGGAGACAGGAAUAACUCCGGGAAACCGGAGCUAAAACCUGAUAUCCCUGCGAGGUCGCAUGAUCUCGCAAGAAAACACCCCGGUGCUUCAGGAGGGUCUCAUGGCCUAUCAGUUAGUUGGUGAGGUAACGGCUCACCAAGGCAAAGACGGGUAGCUGGUCUGAGAGGAUGAUCAGCCACACUGGGACUGAGACACGGCCCAGACUCCUACGGGAGGCAGCAGUAGGGAAUCUUGCGCAGUGGGCGAAAGCCUGACGCAGCCACGCCACGUGUGGGACGACGGCCUUCGGGUUGUAAACCACUUUCAGCAGGGACGAAAAUGACGGUACCUGCAGAAGAAGCCCCGGCCAACUACGUGCCAGCAGCCGCGGUAACACGUACGGGGCGAGCGUUGUCCGGAAUUACUGGGCGUAAAGGGCUCGUAGGCGGUUUGG
This 513-nucleotide ribosomal RNA is filed under the name uncultured bacterium. RNAcentral's name for it is "bacterial SSU rRNA". It matches the Rfam family "Bacterial small subunit ribosomal RNA", at positions 56 to 583 of the family's 1533-position model. The record is from RNAcentral.